Molecule: long non-coding RNA, 700 nt
Organism: Daphnia pulex (common water flea)
Lineage: Eukaryota; Metazoa; Arthropoda; Branchiopoda; Diplostraca; Daphniidae
Exons: 3
Source: RefSeq, a predicted model, not a curated record
AGACGUUUUCCAAUCCAGAUUUAAUUCUUAUCCAUUUAUUUAUAUUUUCGUGAUAUGUGCUAUUUACAAAAUAUGAUACUGUUACAGGUUUAUUAAAUUUUUAAUUGGUUAGAGUUUAGGUGCGCAACGAGAAGAUUGCCCUAAUGCCCUACUCCAGCAAUGUCUUUGAUAUGAGGCUCAGAGGUGGCAGCACUUGCACGAGCAGACUGAUGUUUACAAAAUAAGUCACACCGACUCGGCAUCGUCUGCAGCAAAAAAAAAAAAAAAAAAAAACUACUAAACUCUUUUGGCCAAUUGUCAUCCACUAAAGGUUUUCACUAGGUUUUUAUUCCUUUGCUGUUCUGCCUUAUGGAUCCUAAUCAGCUUCAAUCUUUUUGGCUUCCAAUAAUAUUUGAAGCUGGAGCACAAAUGGAAGAAAUUGACAAACAACAGCAAUGGCAGAUUGUAGCUGCCAUGUUAGGAUGCAGUUCUCAUCUUGAAUGGAACCUAAAAUGAUUGCAUCACCUCCCUGGUCCAAUCCAUCUCUGCUCCCGCUGCAUUGACCGAUGUCUAAAACCGAAUAUGUGGAGCGCUGCAUGAAGCAAACUUAAUUUAUUCACAACACUAUAAUGAUGCUUUUUUUGCUGCUGAAUGAUGAUUUUUUAAUUAUUAAAAUUUCUUUAACAUGACUACAGACUGCACAAAAACUGAGUGAUCAUCA